Anolis sagrei ordinatus is the source of this 341-nucleotide non-coding RNA. NCBI's taxonomy places the organism in Eukaryota, Metazoa, Chordata, Lepidosauria, Squamata, Anolidae. The record is from RefSeq and is a predicted model, not a curated record.
GGGUCAGGCAAGGUACAGGAAGGAAUGUAGGUGGGGAAUAGUGGAAGGCACCAAAACAUCGCAAUAUAUUGAAACAGCUGUGGAUCCGAGUGGAAGGCAGACUGCGUUGGAUAAUACAGAAGGUUGGGUGAGCGAAGAUUGAAUAGAACAUCCUGUAUGGAAAGCAAGAGAAGACACAGAAGAAAAUGUGAAAAACUGGUGAAAGGACAUCAGCAAUGUAAGAUCUGCAGAUGACACCAUAUUACCUGUCGAAAAUAGCAAAGACUUGGAGUGAUUACUGAUGAAAGUAAAGAAAGAAAGUGCAAAGGGAUUACAAUUGAACAAGAUAAGAAAAAUAAUGU